AUCUUUAUUUUAUUUGUAUGUGGUGCUGAGGAUCCAACCCAGCGCCCAGCACAUGUGAGGGCGUUACCGCUUGAGCCACAUCCCCAGCCUGGGAACCCUCUACUUUCUUAAACUCAAUAGUUCAUUUUUUACAUCAUGUCAGAUUUUAGAAGUCAGAAGUGCAUGCAUUGGGGAUUUGGUUUGUUAGAGAUUAUUCCUUAUAAUACACUAUUAAGAUGGAAACUUAUUUAUAUACAAUAUGAUAAUAGUGUUAUUUGGAAUUUUCACAAUCAUCUUUUGGUAUUUUUAUUAUUUUUAGUCAUACAUGUCAAUGAGUAUACUUUGAACAUCUUGUUUCAAAGAUUAGAUAAUACAGUGCCAGGUGUAGUGGCUCAUGCCUAUAAUCCCAAAAGCUUGGGAGCUCAAGCAGGAGGACCACAACUUCAAAGCCAGCCUCAGCAACAGUGAGGUUCUAAGCAACUCAUGGACACACUGUCUCUAAAUAAAAUACAAGAAAGGUCUGUGUAUGUGGCUCAGUGGUUGAGUGCCCUUGAAUUCAAUCCCUGGCACCUUCCACCACCCCCCAAAAAGAAAACAAUACACUGUUGUUAGUAUGUUAACCUCAACUAUUAUCUUUAUUGAAUUUCAACAAGCAGUAGGUUACAGCCAUUAUUUAUGUAAUGGGCGAAAAUUUAAAGUGCUUGUUAUCUAUUUGAUCUUACUGUCUUACUCAUAAUUGCAUAUUAGUUCCCUUGGUCCUGUUUGUACACAUAAUCUCAGUAUGUGAAUAUUCUGAAAUAAAGCAAGGCAUAUUAUCAUGAUUAUUUAAUUUUUUUUGUGGUAGGAGAAUGAAAUCUGAGUCUCAUGGGUUAUUUGUAUGUUGAAACUUUUUCAGGCUUUUAUGAUAUCCUUUUGUCAACUUAGUUGAUAACUGAAGGGAAGAGAGGAUUUGGCUACUGAAUUUUGGGAAGAAUUUGGUCACUGAAUUUCAUGGUGUGUCAUCAGUGUGGAUCCUAUUCAGUGAUUGGAUCUGAAAUUGACACUGAAAACCACAUUAGCUGCACUUAAGACAGAAACAUAAACCCUUCAAGGUAAUAUAACCUUAUCAGUAGAAAUAAGAGUAUAUUGUGAGGCCUUGGCUAGGUUCAUGAUGACACAGGACCUUGUCUGAAUAUGAUGAUUUCAAAAUUUGAGCUUAAAUUGACACUCUGAAAUCUAGUCAGUGUGCCUCACUAGACUUUUCAGAGCACAUUAUUCUUGAAAAAGAUCUUGGCUUUUUGUAAAAACUUAGAACAUAUAGAUAUGCAUUUUCUAGUAUAGAACUUUGCCAUUUAUUCAAAUGUCUUUUAUUUUCAUUGAUAUUCUGAGGUAAUUCUUUUUUUUUCUGAACUUUGUAUGUUGUUGAAAGCUAAAAGGAAACAUCUUGGAUCACAGAAGAUAGCAGGCACCUGGUGAGAUGGAAGUAAGGAUGUGUACAAAUGAAACUAUCAACUAUUGAAAACAAAGAGUACUAAAAUCCUAGGGUUCUAAAUGAUGUCCAGGAAUGAAAGAAUAAUAUUUGUCGAGCAUAUAUUGUGGAUCACAUGGUGUUAUAAUCCUGCUGGAGUUAUGUUGAAGGAACAUCAGUUGCCACUUUGGGAAAUUAACAAUUUGUCAAAUUGUUAUCAUCAUAUUGCAGCAUGCCCUAUUGCAACUUUCUGCUUGAGAGUCUGAUUCCGGAUAUUUAUGUCCCUCCAGGUAUAGUUUAAAGAGACAUUUAACCUUUGUAAUUCCUCAAUAAACCUUUCAGGAUCAACUGAGAAUCUUCCCAGGUCUUCCUUUACCUGUCUGAGAUUUUGAAUGGUUAAUGGAAUAUGGUUAAUGAAACAUUGAGCUGUUAGCCCUGCAACCUCUUAUAGAUGACAGAUCCUGGAGAUUGAGGGGUCCUGACUAAAGUGGUCAGGAAUCUCUAAGACCUGAUUGUACUUUUCCCAGUUGUGAGUGACGGGCUCUACUGUGGUAGUUAAAGGCAUCUUAGAGUGGGUCACUUAUGGCUCCUAUUUCUCAUAUUGGGCUAUGGAUGGGAAUGUAGAAUUUCAAGAAAAUCAUAAUCGUUGGGUUCAUUUACAGAGUUCUUCACUGACUGUCUCUCAAGGCCGUGAAAUCCUGAACAUAUGGAACUUUUGAAAUUCCUUGGGUGCAGCAGAAAAAGCAUGGUAUUAGUGUUAAUGUUUCCAAGUUCAGGCCAUGUUUCUUUAUCUCCUCUCUAUUUUAUGGCCAAGUUUCUAGGUAAAUUUAGCUUUUUUUUUUGAAUGCUUGAGGGUCAGAUUUAUCUUAAUUUUUUAAGAUGCUGUACCUGAGCGGUGAGUCUUGAUGUAUGGACAUCUGGGUAGCCAUCUGGAAAAGAAAGACAAAAGAGUAUGUGAGAGGUGUCUCUCCUUUAUUCUAGUCAUAUGAUCUACUGGAUGAGCCAUCCCUCACCCUGGGGAGUUAUGACAUUAGCUGCGUUUACUGGGUAUUUCCCGUUUUUUCUUGGGUCAUCCAGGCCCAGAGAUCAGUUUUCUUUGUCCUUUCCAUUGAGAAAUUUGGGAAUCUAUAAAAUUUAUUGUCUUGUCUGUGAGUGGACUAUAAGGAGGUGGUUCCUAGGAGGCAUAAUGAGCAGGGGUGGAUCCCAAAUUUCUUUCCCCAUAUCUACCCUUGCCUCAUAUCUACUUGUCUGCCUACUGUAACACUUCUAUAGUUAAAAUAAACAGUUCCUGUAAUCACACAUUAAAGUCUUCUAGGAGAUAUAUAUCCAAAGUAGUAGCAUGGGGUCUGUUAUUUCCAUAAUAAAAGUUGGCCAGUUUACCAUAACACUUUUGUAUCAGAGAUGUUAGAAGUUGACUGAGAACUCCUUCAGAAUUGUUUCAUUGAACUUUUGCUUCAUCUCUUUGAACUGCUUUGUUUUUGUUUUGACAUCUAUCUUUCUCCUUUCAUACUAUUGAUUUAUACUUUAUCUGGAAUAUUUUUUGUGGUUUUAAUUUAUAUGCUUUGCCUUCAGAUUCAUUGAUAAUAAGAUAUUGGGGGAGAACAGACAGUUGUUAGUACUGUAUCCGUCUGUGGUGACAUUUGAAUAUUCCUAUUUCAGUUUAUAGGACAAUUUGCUUAUGGAAGUUGAUUAUAAAACACUAGAUUUAGAAUUGAGCAUGGUGAUACACACCUGUAAUCCCAGGUACUCAGGAGGCCAAAGCAGGAGGAUUAUGAAUUCAAGGCUAGCCUCAGCAAUUUGGCAGGACCCUAUCUCAAAAUAAAAAGGAAAAAUGGUCAGGAUAUUGUUCAGUGAUAAAGCACCCAUGUAUUCUCUCUCCAGUACUGGGGUUGUAAUGUUGGGAGAAGAGAAAGUGAACUUAGUUAUAUAAAACAAAAGAUCUCAAUCUUAAGGUACAUUGUUUUGUUUGUGCAUAUUUGUGUCAGUAUGUCUCUCUGCCUGUAUGCCUGCUGAUUUUUUUUGUUUCUUACUAUUGUCCCCUUAAUUCUGCAUCAGUCUAUUACAUUGUUUUCAUAUCCUUUGCCAAUUAAAGGCAAUCAUUUUACCAGAUAAGAGGACUGUCUAUGCAUAGAGAUAUACUUUCUAUAUGUUAAAUUUUUUUUUGAUUUUUUUUUUUUGGUGCUAGGGUUUGAACAUGGGAUGUAUUAAAUGCUACUAUGCAUUAUAGCCCUGGCCUACAACCCCAGUCCCAUUCUUUUUAUUUCUUUUUAAAGUUAGAUUUUAAGAGAGACUUUGGUAAAGACCUUGGCUGGAUUUAUGAUGAGCUAUGUUUACUGAGCAUGAUGAAGUGAAGCUCAAUAUGAUUACUCUGAGGUCCAGCCUAAGUGUCAUUUUUAA
This is a non-coding RNA of Ictidomys tridecemlineatus (thirteen-lined ground squirrel), 3823 nucleotides long. The record is from RefSeq and is a predicted model, not a curated record. Lineage: Eukaryota; Metazoa; Chordata; Mammalia; Rodentia; Sciuridae.